Molecule: ribosomal RNA, 465 nt
Filed under: uncultured bacterium
Lineage: Bacteria
Description: partial 16S ribosomal RNA
Rfam family: Bacterial small subunit ribosomal RNA
Source: RNAcentral
CUACGGGGGGCUCCAGCGGGGAAUAUUGGACAAUGGGGGAAACCCUGAUCCAGCAAUGCCGCGUGUGUGAAGAAGGCCUGCGGGUUGUAAAGCACUUUCGGUUGGGAGGACUGCUUCUAGCACUAAUAUUGUUGGAAGUUGACGUUACCUUCAGAAGAAGCACCGGCUAACUCCGUGCCAGCAGCCGCGGUAAUACGGAGGGUGCAAGCGUGAAUCGGAAUUACUGGGCGUAAAGCGCGCGUAGGCGGCUAGAUCAGUCGGGUGUGAAAGCCCCGGGCUUAACCUGGGAACUGCAUCCGAUACUGUCUAGCUUGAGUACAGGAGAGGAGAGUGGAAUUCCACAUGUAGCGGUGAAAUGCGUAGAUAUGUGGAGGAACACCAAUGGCGAAGGCAGCUCUCUGGCCUGAUACUGACGCUGAGGUGCGAAAGCGUGGGGAGCAAACAGGAUUAGAUACCCCCGUAGUC